UCGGCAGCGCCACGUUGGAAGUUGUGGCUCGGGGCGCGGGAGGAGGAGGCAAGGCGAGGGCUGGUGUUUGUGGGGAGAGGAGGCGGGGCUGCUGCUGGCAAGGGUUGUUGGCGGAGGUUGAAGUGGCCCAAAAGGAGGGUGGCACCUUCCCGGGCCGCCCUCUACCGACCGCCAGAUGGACGGUGACGACGGUGGCGCGCCCCUGGGGACCGGCCUGUCUGCCAGAUGCCCUUGUCCAGCUCACGCUUGGAGAGAUUAAUCACGUGCGGAGAGGAGACCCCCCCCCCCCCCAGACUGCCCUUCCUCUCCUUGACUUCACUGUUGAUACUGCCCUGAAUUCAGCCAGGAAGUGGAAGACAGAGCAAUCCUAUUGCAACCAUGAGGCGACUAAAGACUUGUUCGAUCCCAGAUGGUGCUGGAAAAAAUGGUGCCGAAUGCAAGAUACUUCUGAAUGUGAAUACUGUGAGCACCGGAAAAAGUAUUUGAAGAAGGAACAGAAAGUGCAGAUCCUCUCCUCCAGGAGAGCCAGACCAUGAAGCAGUCCUGUGAGGAGACACAUGGGCUAGGGACUGGGCCCUGCCAACAGCCACGUGAGUGAACUAGAAGCUGAUUCAUGGCCCCCACACCAUAUGAGAGCCCAGCCCUGGCUGACAGAUUGCCUGUAACCUCCUGAGAGACUCUGAGUCCCAGGAACCCAGCUAAACCACCUUGGAUUCCUACCCACCAAGAUGUGGGCAGUUUUUCAAAUGGACUGUAACAGAAGCUUCUCUGUUUGCACUGGGAGUCACCUCAGGUUUACAUUCAGAAAACUGAAUAAAAAUGGGCAGCAAACAACUGAGCUAAAGCAGAGGAAUGAGAAGAAGUUGUUUGAUGAGGAUUUUGCAGAAUAAUGGCACAGAACCAUUAUUAUGCAGAAGGACUUGGCGGCUUCUUGGGAAGAGUUCUCAGAAGUACGCUGAAUAAAACUCAGUAAGAAAUCGCAGAAUAUUCCUUACUUUUGAAUGUUGUGGGGAUUACACACAACAAUGUGUGUAAAGCCGUCUUCAGAUGGUGAGCACGAGCUACUGGAUAUGGUUCUUCCAAGAGGAAGCUGUUUCAGGGAUGGGUAAUCUGCUCUGGAUGACUGCUGGUGUACAGAGCCCUGCCCAGGGACCUCCAGACUCUGCUCCUAGUUUGGGUGAAGGAAACAGAGAUGUGCCAGGUGAAGAGGAACCAAACCCUUCCACAUGGACCAAAGGGAGUUAUACAGAUUAGGGGACUUUUGGCUGCAAGCCACAGAUAAACUAACAACAAAAUCAACUGGAACUCAGUUCACCCCACCUGCUCUCCCUGCUAUCCUUGGUGGCUUGGCUUGUCCUAUUAGGCUGGCUUCCCUCACAGUUUAAAGAAGGCUGCUACAAUUCCACCCAUGCCAUACAGAUGGUAGCUCUGUCCUUUUUUAUGAGCAGGGAAUAAUUUCACAGAUAUUUCCCGGCAGAUUCCCCCUCCCAUGGCACUUGACUAUGACGGCAUCCUUUCCAAACCUGAAUCAGUCACCUACAAGAGGUAUAAAAUGGCAGUGACUGGCUUAGACCAAUCAAGAUUCAUCCUGGGACUGGAGAGAGAGCCUGGUCCUCAGAAGCACAGGGCCUUCUAACCCCUGAACACAGUUGGGAUUCUGAUGUAAGGGGGGGAAGAGUUUUGGGGGCAUCAGAAAGGGAUAGCUGUACCCUUUGGUCCAUGCGACCCAUGGACAAAGCUCCUUAAAGUGUGAUCCAUGACAGAUAGGAAGCUAACAAGUAUCGGGCAGUUACUCUGCCCUGGGAGGGUACUAAUAACUGUAGAGGGGUUAUCCCAUUCUCUCAUCCCAACAGCCUGAAGCCCCCUUGUAAUGAGCUUUUUGGGGAGAAGACAGAGGGACCUUUAGUAACUGAAUCUCCUUGGGAGAGCUCAAGACUCACCUUUCUUAUAUCAAAUUGCUCUCUCUAAAUAACUGUUUUAUUGUGGUUCUGGCGAAUUUCAAUUUCUCUUUCUGGAAGUUGACCUUACCUUUCGCCACUAUGAUUUCUUCCCUGGGUUGUUUUCUGGGAUGGCAUCCUCAGCAUACAUGCCUGGGUGUCAGGGAGAGAGUCCAGUAAUAUAGAAAACCAGCCCAUAAUGGAAAGUCCUUUGAAGUUGCACAAUUAUUGAUAUUUUAUUUUUGUUUUUGAUUUUUUGAAUUGAUACACGUAAUUUUUAUAAAAUCCAAGCACAACAAAAGUACUGUUAAAAGUCAGUUUGCCUUCCACCCUAGUCUUUGCCCAAAUGCUCUCUCUCACUAUUCUAUUCCCUUCCUUCCACCUCCCUCCCUCCCUCCCUCUCUCCCCCUCCCUCCUCCGUCUCCCUUCCUUCCUUCCUUCCUUCCUUCCUUCCUUCCUUCCUUCCUUCCUUCCUUCCUUCCUUCCUUCCUUCCUCCUUCCCUUCUACUUUCCUUCUUUCCUUCCUACUUACUGAUGAGCUAUUAUAUGCAAAAGUCCAUGCCAGGUUCAGGUCUACUCAUAGAGAUUCAUGGGGUUAUCUUUGGUUCCUCACCACCCUCCCCAACAUUGAUUUUCACAAAACCUCCUCAAGUCCUACUCCCUUGGUCCAUUCAUUGUUCCUCACUGACCCAUUGUGCCAGCUUCCAACAGCCUCCUGUGCCCCACUGCCUUCUUGCUCUGUUCGGUCUCCAUCCUCUUUAAGGGCAUUUUUUUAAGUAGACUAUGUCGUGGGCCGAAUUGUGCCCCACCUCCAUUCACAUGUUGAAGCCCCAACCCCUAGUGCUCUCACAAUGUGACUGUGUUUGAAAAUAAAGUCUUGAAAGAGGUGAUUAAGUUAAACUGAGGCUGUUGGGGUGAUCCUAAUCCAAUAGGUCCAGUGUCCAUAUGAGAAGAGCAGAUUAGGACACAGAGAGGUACACAUAGGGAAGAGCAUAUGAGGAGACACAAGGAGAAGACAGCCAUCUGGGGCAGGAGAAAGGCCAAGGAGGUAGGCCUCAGGAGAAACCAACUUUGCCCACAGCUUAAUCGUCAGACCUCUAGAACUGUGAGAAAAGUUUCUGUUAUUUGAACCACCCAAUCUGUGGUACUUUGCUUCAGAAGCCCUAGAAAAUGAACACAGACCACAUAUAAUCAAGUCCCUCAUUUGUUCAAAAAGUUUUUAAUGGCUUCUAGUUUCUUAACAUUAAGGUAAAAUUCUUCUCCCAGGCCUUUAAGGGGCCUCAUGACCUGGCGCUAACCUACCUUUGCUGUCUUCACUGCUUAUCUAUCCAUCCUCUAUGUUUGCUCACACUGGAUCGGCUUCCAUGCAGUGGACAAGGCCUGUGUCCCCCUACCUCUGGGCCUUUGAACAGGUUGUCCUUUCCGUCAAAAAUAUGUUUGCAUUCCCCAACCAUGUCCCUCCCAUUUCUAACUGUUGGAAUCAUGGCUAUUCCUCAAACCCAGCCUGAAUGCCCCUAGUGGGUCACUCUCAUCUACCCCUGCGUCACUUUGCAAAAUUGUUGUGAUAGGCAUUGUAUUCUGCCCCACAUUCUACUGAGGUGGUUUUUGAUUUGACUAAAAUUCUCAGGCAUAGGUUCUCCAUCUUGCUUAUUUUUCAGUCUUCAAUCUAGGAUGGUUAGACAAGUAGCGUAUUUUCACAAAUAUGAAUGGAAUUACAAUGACAGGCCAGAUUGAAAAAUAAGAUCAAAAUUAGGGCACAGACAUGAAAAUAAUGUCCCUAAAAAAUAAGAAAUAAAAAAGAUGGACUAAAAUGGUGUCAAUUUUGGGAUGACCCAGAGGAAGAAGUGAAAUCCUGAUGGAGAGAAACCUCAACAGUAAAAAGACAGUUCCUGGGCGCCUGGGUGGCUCAGAUGGUUAAGCGACUGCCUUCGGCUCAGGUCAUGAUCCUGGAGUCCUGGGAUCGAGUCCCACAUCGGGCUCCCUGCUCAGCAGGGAGUCUGCUUCUCCCUCUGGCCCUCCUCCCUCUCAUGCUCUCUGUCUCUCAUUCUCUCUCUCACAAAUAAAUAAAAUCUUAAAAAAAAAAAAAAAAAAAGACAGUUCCUUCUCCUGAUAUUGCAGCUGUAUUUUAAAAUAUAGACGACUUAAGAUAGAACUUUGGCUGAAUAUUCUGGAAUGUUUUCUGAAAGGAAAACAGUUGAUCUCUGGAGACAACUCCCCAGUAGCUUUGCCUUGGAAAGCUGGCUGGACGGAGGAGCUUCUGAAGUCUUUUUACUCUGGAAUUGACUUGCCUUUGAGAUGCUUUGCUAAAGUGUGAACAGCGGUAUUCAGCGGGGAGCAGGCUUCCAAGAGCAAGCAUACGCCCUCAAAACCAUCUACUAUGCAAACAUGUGGAAGCCAUCUAUAAAUUGUAAGCGUGGGUUGGCCUGGACCUGCUGAAACACGAUCAAAGGGAAAGUGAUUUAUAUAAUCUCUCCUUUCCCAUGUGAUUUUGGGGCUGUACUGGAGUGAGGAACUCAAUCAAAAGUUUUAAAAAAAUAAGGAAAACAAAACACAAGAGUCCCACCUCUUCCCCCAGACACCUGCAAAAUGAGAGAAAAAUACUUUCUUCUCAUUGCAAGAGAAAACUGGGAGAUGAAGCUGUUAGCCAUGUGAAAUCUAGUGGGAAAAUGGGUGGAUUUUUUUUCCCCUAGUGAAUCUUAAAGCUGUAAGGCUUUUUCUCCCUUCCUUUUCUUUUUCUUUCUUUCUCCCUUCAUCCAUUACAUUAGUGAGGCUUGCUGACGAGGACUUGAGCAGCUUCUGUAAUGAUCCCCAGGCCUCCCCAACACAGUGGCACAUUAAAACGUAUGCAGAAGCCAAGUACAUGGGGAAGGAGCCCUAGCAGCAAUGGGGAAUUAAAUGGGCCGUUGUCCCUGGGGCUCUGCUUUGCAGCUCAGUGUAGAGAAGGGGGGGACUUUGUGUCCCUGGAACAUGCCUGAUGGUGUUGGAUUUCUGGGGUGCCCCCGUGUCCCAGCUGUCAAAGCCAGGAGGUUUCUGGGAGGAAGGAAGUCAAGCUGGAGACAAGGAAACGGGGGUGGAGUCAGGACCUGCGUCUGUGGUGUGAAGUUGUGGUAGGGGCCAGAAAGAUCCCCACCUACCCAGACACUCUUACUCAGUUGCUAAGUGUCUAAAGUCAGGCUCUCAGAAGCAGAACCUGAGACAGGAGAACUUGUGCAAGGGGUUUAUUGAAGAAGGGCUCUCAGGACAAGGGAGGGAGGGGCCGGGGAAGGGAAGGGGGGUGAAGGGACAGCUAAGCGAGGAUGUGGGCUCCACUGGAGGCCAGCUUCAACCUGAUCCCACGGAAGCCUCUCGAGCAUGAGUCAUGCCACACGUUGCUUUCUUUUGAGGCAAAAAGGCCAGCCUUUUGUACUUCCAUGUUUGGUCGCUGAUCGCUGGCCGUGAGAGGGGCAGUGGUGGGGUAACAUCUGCUCGGACAACAGGGAUGUUCAGGAGAAGGGGCAGGAGUGAGUUACCCGCUGUGUUAGUGCUCUAGGGUUGUCACCAAAGAGCCACAGACCAGAGGGCUUAAACAACAGACAUUUCUGGUCUCCCGGUUCUGGAGGCAGGAGUCCAAAUCAAGGUGUCUGCAGGGUUGGUCUCUUCUGAGAGGGGUGAGGCAGGAUCUGUUCCAGACUUUUCUCUGUGGUUUGUGUCUUUUCCUGCCUUUCCUCACCUCCUCUUGCCUCUCUGUGUGUCUGCGCCCAAAUCUCCCCUUUCUAGGGGACACCAGUCAUAUGGGAUUAGGGUCCACCCUAAUGACUUCAUUCUAACUUGAUUACCUCUGUAAGGACCCCAUUUCCAAUAAAGUCGCAAUGUAAGCUGAACUGGAGUCUGAGUAACAAGGGAUCAGAUUUCUCCCUGUGUGGGUAGAGCUGCCUGACUCCCCAAUUCCAUCGGCUGCCUGUGCUCGGCUCCCUCUCUGGCUUCUGUCUUUGCCCAGGAACCUCGGAUCCCGGGGAGGUGACCGAGAACAUGUUGGCAGCGGUCAUGCGGAUCCACACUUGAAGCUUUCUGAUGGGCUCUGCUCAGGACAAAGUUCGUCAACACGGGACGCUGGGAACCAUGGCUGCCUCUGAGGGUCUGAGGGAAGUUCUUGGGCACAAUGGGCACAAGUAGGUUUUCACAAGCUCCUUAGUUGAUGCCGAGAACGUAGAAACUGCUUCUCUCUUCUUUCAGGAGAAAAAGGAGCAGCAUUUCUGAUUGAAGACACCUUAGUCUUGGGGAUCUGAUUCUUGCAGAGAAAAGACUCUCUUCGUGGGGGCCUUUCUCUGUUCCUAUUUGGUGAAAAGGAGACCACAGUGGAUGGGGCAUGUGGGGGCAAGUGCAGGAAAGGCCAGCAGGGGACCAACACAGACGGGGCGACGCGGUACAGAGGUGCUCAUUGCUACAAUAGAGUUGGCUUCCGAGCAACUUCAAUUACUUGUUAGGUGUUUAAAAUAGGUAAAGUAUAUAUGUGUGUAUUGUAUAUCGUGUUAUCAUUACACCUAAGCAAAAGUAAUGGGAAUGGCUUUGUAUCAGGACUGACUUAGUAUCAUUAAAUUCCCAGGUUGUCCUCCGUGGGUGUCUCCCCCCCCCCCCCCCCCGCCCCAUCCUCGUGUGUGUUAUAGAUGUGUGUUUCUUGUUUGUUUCAAUCAGGAUGCUAACAAGGCACACUGGGUGACAUCUCUCUCACGUCAGUCUUAAUCCGCAGGGUUUCCCUGCAGUUCUUUGCCAGUGCAACUGAGGGUUUAUCCUGUAGAUUCUCCAGCAGUCUGGCUUUUGCUGAUUCGUCCUCCUUGGGACAUUGAACACAUCCCUCUGUCUGCUGUACUUCCUAUGAAGUGGUAGGAGGAUGGAGGAUCAGAUUCAGAUUUGGUUUAUUUGGCAAGGUUGCUCCUGUGUGCUGGGGUGAGCUCCCUUCCACUGGAAGUAAGCAAAAAUUAUCUGGCUCUCUCUGAUGUUGGACACUGUGGAGGAGCACAUUCUUCUUGUUUUUUUCUUUGAUCACUCUCUAAAAAUAUAAAACCAGUCUUAGCUUGGGGGCUGUAUGAAACUAUCCUCAAUUAACUAAAUCCAUUACUUUAUUAGAGAUUGCAGAAUGGUGAUGGUCUCACUCUUCACUCUUCAUUUAUUAGCUGGAUUAUUUCUAUAAAGUAAAAGUUACCCCUUAUCACUGACUUAAUAACCCUGAGGGACAGUUCGUUUAGGAAGGGCAGGAUAAAUGCUUGAAUUUUUUUCUCUUUACUUACUGAUUUUAAUAAUAAUGAGUCCCUAGACUUUUUUUCAAAGACAGUCAACACUUUUUUUAGUAUCAUUAUGAAUUUAUGGGUUUAACCAUAUUUCACAUAUUUUAAUCCAAUGCAUUGAUUGUCCUUAUUGGAAAUCAAAUUUGGCUGUCUUUGACCAGGUUGGUCCCUGAAUUUUUAAAAUAGUUUUAUUGAGAUAGAUAAUUCACAUGCCAUACAAUUUACCCAUCUAAAGUUUAUAAUUCAGUGGUUUUUAGUAAAUUCAGAGUUGUACAGCCAUUAUUACAAUCAAGUUUAGAACAUUUUUGUCACCCCAGAAAGAAGCCCUGUAUCCAUUCGCAAUCACUCCCAGUUUCCCUCCACCUGUGUCCUCCUCCCUCACACCCCCCAGAUCUAGGCAACCACUGUUUGACUUUCUGUCUCCAUGGAUAAGCCUAUUCUGGACAUUCCAUAUAAAUAGAAUGAUACGAUAUGUGGAUUCUUUUACCUGGCAAAAUGUUUUCAAAGUUCAUUCAUGCUGUAACAGAUAUCUAUACUUUGUUUCCUCUUAUUGCUCAAUAUUAUUUCAUUCUAUGGGUAUACACAUUUUAUUUACCCAUCCAUCCCUUGAUGGACAUUUGGUUGUUUUCACUUGGACCCCAAGUUAUUUUGAUAGAACCCUAGCAGUCUUUGAUAGCUUCCUUGCUUUCUGGUAUGAUAAGAUAUUUGGACUCCUACAAGCCCCGGACUUGUAAGAGCCUGUUUUCCAAGGAGCACUUAUUCCCUUAAAUGGGAAAAUUAGGGUCAAGACCAAAAACUGGGCACUGGGGAUUCUUAUUGCUGUUGGGCUGGUCACUGAUUCUGGGACUUGGAAUACACAGAGAUAGGAAAUAUUUUUGUGUGUUUAUUUGCUGUUUAAGAUAAACUCUAUCCAGAGUUCAUGCCGAAACUCCCAAUUCAAAGUUUAGGGCCAUAGUGUUUUUGGUUAGCCUCAUCAAUCUUACAUUCAAAUCUUUUCUUCUAUGUUAAAAUUCAGGAUCUCAGUGACACCAAUGCAAUUAAUCAUUUGCAUUAUCUCAUAGCACACACAUACACAUUUCAAAUCACUAUAUCAACAUUUACAGGAGCAAUUUAUUUAUUGAAAACAAUUUAAGAUUUGUUUGAAGUUAUUUUUCCCUUAGGGAGUUGUCACUGGAGAUGUACAGUUGGGAACGUGUUUUAACAACAUAUAGAAUUAGUUUUUUUGUGUGGUUAUACUAUCUACUCAGUAUCAUUUAAGUUCAUUUGAUUCACUUUAUUUUUGAUUCUUAGGGAUUUUUUUAAGUUAAUUUUGUUUUGUAACUAUGGUCUUAAGAUUAAGUCUAACAAGAUUUAGUCAAAGAAGUCUAGCUUUAGUCUCCAUCUCCUCUAUCCUAUUCCUUCUUCUUUCUAUAGGCAACCAUUAAUGUUUUUUUUUUUAAUUUUAAGCAAAUUCCUAUAUAUUCAUAUUCCCGUUUUUUCUUAGCCUAUCAUAUUUACUAUUCUCCACCUUGCUUUUUUCAUUUGACCAUACAUCUUAGAGAUCACUUCAUAAUGGAAAUCUUCCUUAUUAUUUUUAUUUUUUUUAAUACUGCAAAGUACCCUGGAACUUUAUGGAUGUAUCUGGUUAAUUCACCUUGCAUCUAACUGAUGGACAAUUGAGUUCCCCCAAGUUUUGUGCAAUCUCACAAAUAGUGCUGUAAUGAAUAAUCUUUUGAAUACAGGUUUUCAAAUAUUUGCCUGUGUAUAAUUGGGCUAGAUCCUAAAAGUGGGAUAGGUAGGGUAAAGAAGAAGCACAUAUUGUCAAAUUUUGGAAUUUUGCCAAUACAUUAAUUCAUUAGGGGUUGCAAAAGAGUGGUAUUUCAAUUCCAUCAUUCUUCAUGUAUUAGCUGGGACAGUUCUAUAAAGAGAAAAUUCCCGUUAUCACUUCUUUGAUUACGCUGAAUGACAGUCCAUUUAGGAAAGGCAGGAUAAAUGCUUGAUUCCUUCUCUUCACUUGCUUAUUUUCCCAGUAAUGAAUUGCUUCUCAGGCAUCCUCCAGGGAGGAACAACGAAGACUUUUUGCCUGUUUGUGUCGUUAACGAACAUAUAGUUGUAACCAUAUCUGAUGUGUUUCAAUCCGGUGGUAUUUCAGUAUAAUUUCAAUUUGCUUUUCCCUUAUUAUGAGCAAGAUUGAACAUCCUUUUAUCUAAGAGUCAGUCACAUUUAUUUUUCCAUAAACUAUUCAUUUAUAUGUCUACAUUCCUUUUUGGUAGAGUCGUUGCCCUUUCCCCCCCUUGUUUUUAGAACCUCUUUAUGUAUUAGACUUACUGACUCUCUAAUGUUUUUUUCUGUGUGUCAUUUGUCUUUCCACUUUGCUUAUGCUUAUUCUUUUGCCAUAAAAGUUUUUCCUUUUAUAAUCAGAUCUUCUCUGACGGCUCUUCCUUUUCUCUGUCCUUUACCGCAUUUUCUUACAUAAUAGCACACAUCCAGGAAGGCUCUUCCCGCUCAGACCCUUACAGCUUUCUCCCACGUCAGGCUUCUUCUCGGAGCCCCUCUUUACUCUUCAGCCGGUGUCUCCGACUCCUUCUAUUGCUCUCUCUCAAUCUCCUUUUUGGUCUUAAGCUUUUGUUUUCCCUGUUUUCUCCUUUGUAAUUCCAUUGGUGAGCAUAUUGGAGUAUAAUUAGGACUAAGUAAAAAAAAUAAAAUCCCAUCCAGGAAAUGAGGUCUUAAAACUAAUAUAUGAAAACUUUUUACUGUACAUGUUUAAGGUUUUGUUCCUAGAAAGGCUGCUUUUUGUGUGUAAUGUAAAGCACACAGUACAUAGCUUAGCUUAUCCUGAAGAUCCUCAAUGAUAAGAAUAAUGGUGAAAAUCUCCAUUUAGUGGGCAUCUCCCACAUGCCAGAUGUUGUGCUAGAAACUCAUCCAUCCAUUUAACAAAUAUUUAUUGAGUUCCAGGAACCAUUCAAAGUGCUGUGGAUAAAGUCUGAAUUCUCAGUCCUCACUGAGCUUACAUUGUAGGAGGAAGACAGAAAAUAAAUGACAUAAAUCAACAAAAUAUAUAAGGUCCAUCUUCACCCUGCUCCUCUAGAAAGUAAAGGUUGAGGUCAGGGUGGGGAGAAUAUUCUCAUAAGGACAUUGGCUUUUGCUUGGCAUGAGACAGGAAGCUGUUGGAGGGAGGUCUUAGAACAGAGGAGGUGACAUUAAUCUGACUUAAGUUUUUCACAGGAUCAGAACAACCCUGUAAAGUCAGUGAUUCAGGCUCCAGAAAUGCACUAAUUUCCUGAUGGUCACACAGAGAGAAGGUGGUGGAGCCAGGACUUGAAACCAACUACUCUCUUGCUCGUGCUCUGUUAGGUCUCAUUGUUCAGAUUCAGCUGGAAUUCACCACUUCCCCACCAUCCAACCCUGUCUCUGUUGAGUAGCAAUCUCGAAAUCAGGCAUCGAAUGAAUGCAGACCUGGGCACCAUGGAGCACACAGAGAAGACCCUCUCUCAGGUCAACGCACGCUCUUUGUCAAGUGAUGGAUGCCUCUGUCUGGGGUCACAGGUGGCUGUCCCCUUGGCACUGUUUUACCAUGUGACCUGAGGCACUCUCUGGGCCUCAGGCUCUUCAUCAAGGAAUGACAAUAGCUCAGAUAGCUCUGUUCAACUCACAGAGUUGGGAAAAUAAAAUGUGGGUAACAAAACAGGGUCACACAUUAUAAAGUGCUGUGCAAAUACUCGACACUGCAUCACAGGAUCCUACCUGUUCAUACUCUGAGAACCUCAAAGCUCUGUGGAAAAACAGUUAAAUUUAACACAGAUUUUAUUUUAGAGAAUUCAUAUUGUUAAAAAAAUGAGAUAGCGCAUCAUUUCAGGCAAAGGAGAACGGUUCUGUUUUAGAAUUCUCUAGUUAUCCUCUACCUUCUCCGAGUAUAAUUGAGUGCUAUAAUACUGUUUAUUGCUCUCUAUUCCUUUGGGUGUUGCAGUAUAUUGAGUAAAUUCAUAGAGUGCUAUGGAGUAGCUGUCCAAUUCACCGGAUUACAAAUGAGAGGAUGAACAAGCUGCUUCACUGACCAUUUGUUCCGGAGGUUCCCAUUAUGGGGCCAUUUUGAUGCGUCCAUCAAACCAGGGGCACGGUGGAGUAGGCAGCUGCAAUUCGUGCCUCAGAGACACACACCGCUUCUGGAUCUCCACCCUCAACAUUAUUUCCAUGUUGUAAGAACACCACAUGAUUUCAGAGUUGGUAGAAUCAUCGGAUGAUAUCUGAUCCACUUUCCUUUUAAAGCCUACAGGAUGGAGGUGGAGAGAGACUCGGAGUCCUGUGGAGACUGCAGAGCCAUGGUUCUCACCCCUGAGCCCGUUUCUUGAUGGCUCUUUCAUGGAUUCAAGGAGACGGCUGCAGUCUUUAGUUUGGGGAUACAGGAAAAUAUUCCAGAGCAGUGGUUCUCAAGCAAGGGGAUUUUUUUUGCCCCCUCUACCCUCGGUGGACGUUUGGCAAUGUCUGGAGACAUUCCUGCCAUGAUUGGGCGGUGGUGCCACUGGCAUCUGGGGGUCCAAGGACAGGGAUGCUGUUAAAUCCCACAGUGCCCAGGACAGCCCCCACAACAAAGCAGGAUCCAGCUCAAAAUGCCAGUCGUGCUGAGGCUGAGACACCCUGGUCUAGAUGGACUGGCUGAGAAGUUUUAAACGUUGAUCCAGAAGCCAGUGUGAAAGUUCUUCAACAUUUCAGUGAUGAAAGGAUGAAAUAAUCCCCAAGGGAAACCGGCUCAGCUUUAUUAGGACAAUCUCUCUUCUGGGCUUGCUCUCCGCAGGGCAGUCUGUGCAUUUAGUUUGGAGACCGUGAGGCUAAUGCCACCCGGGGCCAGGGGCGAAUAGGCUGAGGGAUCCCACCACGGCAAGAUGCCCACAGGCAGGUCUUUUCAACGUAGAGCUCGGAUGUAUUUUGGCCUUUGGCUCCUACUUAUUAAAAAACCAGCUUAUUGUUUAUGUGUGAAUUAUAUUAUUGAGUUCCUGACAUGCUGGGUUUACAGUUUUAUGACAUCAAAUCUGUGGAUUGUGUUGUUGAAACUUCUUCAAUUGCUUUUUCGUUGACGAGAAAACGAUUCUUCAUGCAGACUAAUUUUUCUCCCAUAUUUUCUUGAGUUUCUUGUCUCUUGCAUAUUUAAUUCUUGAAGACAUCAGCAACCUAUUUUCGUAUGUGGGUUUCUGUACCUGAUUUUCUUCUAGUUCCGUUUAUUGAAAAAUCAAUAGCCUUUGUAUAUUUCCAGGAUUUGUUUCACGUUUACCUCUCCUUUUCCACUCAUCUGUUUACUUCUUGCACCAUACAAUGCUUUUCAAUUAUUAUAGCUUUAAAAUAUGUUUUAAUAUUUAUUAAUGAAAGCCCCUCUCCCUCCUCUUUAAAAAUUUUUAAUUAAUAAUGAUAUUCUGUUGGGCUUUCGUAUUUUCUAUUUUUAAUAUUAUUUGUUUAUUUGUAUUAUAUAUUAUUUGUAAGAGCUAUAACUAGGUAGAUUGUAAGGAUCUGAUCCCCUGGCUUGGAUGUGUGUUGAUGAAGAAGCAGUCUGAGGAACGCCCAGGUCCCUCAUUUUAUGUGUCUCUAGGAGGAAGGUAGGACAUUUCCAACUGAGAACAGAAAAGAGAGCAGUUUGGGGGCUGGGUGGACCCCGAGGACUAGGGAGGAGGGUGUGGGAACUUGGCUGGGGGACACAAACAAUGUAGUCAGUUUGAAUACUUGCUAAAACAUCCACAAAGAGGGUUUUAUUGGUGAGUCCCGGACAGACAUCCAGGUUUGGGAGACCCCAGCAUUCAGCGCUCACGGAAGCCCUGGGUUUGUACGGAAUUCCUCCCAUGAGCACAGAGGGCUCCAGGGAAGGCGGCUGAGCAACAUUUUGAAGAGGCCCGCAGAAGAAAAGGAUUGAAGGAAACAGACUGAAGAGAGCUAGGGAGAAAACUGGGAAGAGAGUGGAGGCGCCAAAGCCCAUGGAAGACAGAGGAAGAUGAUGGCCAAACCCUGCCUCCAGGACAGACGAGAUAAGGAGGGAAGAAUGGCUGUAGUAUUUAUAGUUCUUUUUUUUAAAUUUUAUUUUAUUAUGUUAUGUUAAUCACCAUACAUUGCAUCAUUCGUUUUUGAUGUGUGUUCCAUGAUUCAUUGUUUGUGCAUAACACCCAGUGCUCCAUGCAGAAUGUGCCCUCUUUAAUACCCAUCACCAGGCUAACCCAUCCUCCCACCCCCCUCCCCUCUAGGACCCUCAGUUUGUUUCUCAGAGUCCAUAGGCUGUUGUAUUUAAUAGCACUGAGGCAUUGGUGUGGGGUUUCAGGCGAGUGGUGCACGCAGAAACAGACGUCAGCAUUGCGGACAGAGGGGAGAAGGAAGAGAGACCCGGCUGGGAGUGAGGGGCAGGCUGGUCAGGCAGCCACUGCAAACACUUGCUGGAUUAUAAAUGGAGGACGUUCCCAUCUCCUGGGGCUCCUGGGCGAUCAGUGCCUUCAGGACAGAAGUCCACCUUAAGGCUACUUUUCUGAUAUCAUCAUUGCCAUGCCAACUUCCUUUUCCUUAUUUUUAGCUUGGUGUGUCUUUUCCAUUCCUUUCCUUUCAAACCGUCUGUAUAUUAUAUCAUAUAUUAUAUUAUGUUAGAGUUUCUGUAUGUGCAGGCGUCUGCCGGACAAGUUCAACAAUAAUCUAGAUCUGGUAAGCCGACGGUCUCAAGACUCCUCUUACUUGACCUUUCCACAAAUUUCAACAAUAUUUUCCAUAGUUACUCACUCCUUCAAUUUUGAAACCGAGCCUGGGCGUCUGCGUGGGGAAUGGAAAAAAUUAUAGGCCUCCCAAGAGAAAGUAAAUCUUUUCCAUAAAGUGGCCUGACACAGCGUCCAAACAUACACUAUUCAUGUGGUUGAGGAAUCCCAAGCCAAGAGAUUAGUUUAAAACACGCCAGGGCAGCAAACCUUUGGGAUUCUCAGCAAAACAAAGGCUAAACCACUCUGCAGGGACAUUUCCACAACCCAGAGAAGGUGCGAGUCCCACGGGAGACAAGCUCACGAUUAAGUAAAAUACAGAACACAGGGAAAGCAAUCUUUUACAAUAUGUGCACUUGGCUUUAUCUUGCUGCAGAGUUGGAGAGCUUUUUUAAUCCAAACGGCAUGAAUUUCUCUAAAAACUCCAAGUUCUUACCUAGUAUCUUUUAAAAUGUUAUAUCUGCCCCAUUUUCUCUAUUUCUUCUUCUGAAACUAUUUUCUAGGCAUGUUGGACUUUCUCAUUUUAUUCUUCAUGAAUUCUAAUGAUGCUUUUAUAAACAUAUGUAUACACACACAUAUGCACGGACGCACAUGUGUUUAUAUACAUGUAGUUUAAAAUUAAUUUUUUAAAAAUUCAUUUUUGUUAAAGUACUAUAUGUACAAUAUUUAAAGCAAAAUGGUUCUAUAAGACUCGUGACAACAUAGGGAAGAGUCCCUGCCUCACAGUAGAUUUCAGCUUCCAAACGCAGCCAUUUCCAACUCUUUUUUUUUUUUUUUUA
Molecule: long non-coding RNA, 14669 nt
Organism: Mirounga angustirostris (Northern elephant seal)
Lineage: Eukaryota; Metazoa; Chordata; Mammalia; Carnivora; Phocidae
Exons: 9
Source: RefSeq, a predicted model, not a curated record